This is a long non-coding RNA of Macadamia integrifolia, 1173 nucleotides long. RefSeq lists it as uncharacterized. The record is from RefSeq and is a predicted model, not a curated record. The transcript has 3 exons. Lineage: Eukaryota; Viridiplantae; Streptophyta; Magnoliopsida; Proteales; Proteaceae.
UUUCAAGAGAGAGAAAUGAGAGAUUUUGGAAUGUGUGAGAUAAGCAUCAUGGACGGCUAAAUCACAGCUCAAAGCCCACCGAUUCUGAAUUAGAAGAACGUUAGAAGCCAUACUGUUUCGAAAAACAGAGUUCUACAUCACCUCCAAGCAAAUGAUAUCAUUUGUAGGACGGCUCUAGGGAAGAAGUAUAAUGGAGAAGCGAAAGGUUUAAAUGGGUGCUCCAGGAGCAGACUUCAUCCCAUGGCUUGGCUGGGAGAAUUAUGUAAAUGUGUUGGAGAAGAGAAUGGAGAAAACUUUAGCAGAGAUAGAUUUUUUCUUGAUACUGUGAUUCAACAACACAGAAUUGGACAUAAGAAAAAAGACUAUCAUGAUAAUGAUGCAGACAUUGACUUAAUAGACUUCCUCCUUCAGAGGAGCUUUGGAAUUUCUAUUUGAAGGAUAACAUCAAAGCCAUUCUAUUGGAUAUAUUUGGUGCCGGAACUGAUCCCACAAGUAUACUUCUAGAAUGGACGAUGACAGAAAUUUUAAAACAUCCAAAAGUAAUGAAAGAAGUUCACGAGGAAGUAAGGGGGGUCACAAAGGGCAAAGAGAAUAUUGCAGAUGUUGAUAUAAAACAAAUGCAUUAUUUGAAUGCAGUGAUUAAGGAGACACUAAGACUGCAUCCUCCACUCCCUUUAUUGACUCCGCGUAAAUUGACAGAAAAUGUCAAUAUACAAGGGUUUGAUGUUCCAACCAACACAACGGUAAUAAUCAAUGCAUGGGCCAUUGGAAGGGACCUGUGUCCUGGGAUGAACCCGAGAAGUUCAAACCAAAGAGGUUCUUGAAUGAUGCCUCUGUUGAUUUUAAUGCUCAUGUUGAUUUUAAUUAAUUCCAUUUGGGAUAGGCAGGCGAGGAUGCCCAGGAGCUCAAUUCGCUUUUGGCAUUGUUCAACUUGUAAUCGCUAAUCUUUUGCACAAGUUUGACUUGGAGAUUGAGUGGCAGGACUUGAAUAUUACGGAAGCUACCGGAAUGUCAAAUCAUUUAAACUAUCCUCUUCAAGUUCUUGUUACUUCGAAGAAUAUUUGUGGCCCACUUAUCAUUUGUAGUGACCCACAUAAAUAGAUUUUUUUUUUUUCCUAGUAAUGAGAUAUUUGUAAAUUCUUAUAAAAAUCCAUGUGAUAUUAUUAGUGCUUC